GACGAACGCUGGCGGCGUGCUUAACACAUGCAAGUCGAACGGUAAGGCCCUUCGGGGUACACGAGUGGCGAACGGGUGAGUAACACGUGGGUGAUCUGCCCUGCACUUCGGGAUAAGCCUGGGAAACUGGGUCUAAUACCGGAUAGGACCCUGGGAUGCAUGUCCUGGGGUGGAAAGCUUUUGCGGUGUGGGAUGGGCCCGCGGCCUAUCAGCUUGUUGGUGGGGUGAGGGCCUACCAAGGCGACGACGGGUAGCCGGCCUGAGAGGGUGACCGGCGACACGGGGACUGAAAUACGGCCCAGACUCCUACGGGGGGCAGCAGUGGGGAAUAUUGCACAAUGGGCGCAAGCCUGAUGCAGCGACGCCGCGUGAGGGAUGACGGCCUUCGGGUUGUAAACCUCUUUCAGCACCGACGAAGCGCAAGUGACGGUAGGUGCAGAAGAAGGACCGGCCAACUACGUGCCAGCAGCCGCCGUAA
Molecule: ribosomal RNA, 478 nt
Filed under: uncultured bacterium
Lineage: Bacteria
Description: partial 16S ribosomal RNA
Rfam family: Bacterial small subunit ribosomal RNA
Source: RNAcentral